Molecule: ribosomal RNA, 1546 nt
Filed under: Listeria monocytogenes
Lineage: Bacteria; Bacillati; Bacillota; Bacilli; Caryophanales; Listeriaceae
Description: partial 23S ribosomal RNA
Rfam family: Bacterial large subunit ribosomal RNA
Source: RNAcentral
UUGGUUAAGUUAGAAAGGGCGCACGGUGGAUGCCUUGGCACUAGGAGCCGAAGAAGGACGGGACUAACACCGAUAUGCUUUGGGGAGCUGUACGUAAGCGUUGAUCCAGAGAUUUCCGAAUGGGGGAACCCACUAUCUUUAGUCGGAUAGUAUCCUUACGUGAAUACAUAGCGUGAGGAAGGCAGACCCAGGGAACUGAAACAUCUAAGUACCUGGAGGAAGAGAAAGAAAAAUCGAUUUCCUGAGUAGCGGCGAGCGAAACGGAAAGAGCCCAAACCAAGAAGCUUGCUUCUUGGGGUUGUAGGACACUCUAUACGGAGUUACAAAAGAAAGUUAUAAAUGAAGCGGUCUGGAAAGGCCCGCCAAAGACGGUAACAGCCCGGUAGUUGAAAUGGCUUUCCCUCCAGAGUGGAUCCUGAGUACGGCGGAACACGUGAAAUUCCGUCGGAAUCCGGGAGGACCAUCUCCCAAGGCUAAAUACUCCCUAGUGACCGAUAGUGAACCAGUACCGUGAGGGAAAGGUGAAAAGCACCCCGGAAGGGGAGUGAAACAGUUCCUGAAACCGUGUGCCUACAAGUAGUUAGAGCCCGUUAAUGGGUGAUAGCGUGCCUUUUGUAGAAUGAACCGGCGAGUUACGAUUUGUUGCAAGGUUAAGCGGAAAAAGCGGAGCCGUAGCGAAAGCGAGUCUGAAUAGGGCGCAUAAGUAACAGGUCGUAGACCCGAAACCAGGUGAUCUACCCAUGUCCAGGAUGAAGGUAAGGUAAUACUUACUGGAGGUCCGAACCCACGCACGUUGAAAAGUGCGGGGAUGAGGUGUGGGUAGCGGAGAAAUUCCAAUCGAACUUGGAGAUAGCUGGUUCUCUCCGAAAUAGCUUUAGGGCUAGCCUCGAGGUAAAGAGUCAUGGAGGUAGAGCACUGUUUGGACUAGGGGCCCUUCUCGGGUUACCGAAUUCAGAUAAACUCCGAAUGCCAUGUACUUAUACUCGGGAGUCAGACUGCGAGUGAUAAGAUCCGUAGUCGAAAGGGAAACAGCCCAGACCACCAGUUAAGGUCCCCAAAUAUAUGUUAAGUGGAAAAGGAUGUGGGGUUGCUUAGACAACCAGGAUGUUGGCUUAGAAGCAGCCACCAUUGAAAGAGUGCGUAAUAGCUCACUGGUCGAGUGACCCCGCGCCGAAAAUGUACCGGGGCUAAACAUAUUACCGAAACUGUGGAUGAACCUCUUUAGAGGUUCGUGGUAGGAGAGCGUUCUAAGGGCGGUGAAGUCAGACCGGAAGGACUGGUGGAGCGCUUAGAAGUGAGAAUGCCGGUAUGAGUAGCGAAAGAAGGGUGAGAAUCCCUUCCACCGAAUAUCUAAGGUUUCCUGAGGAAGGCUCGUCCGCUCAGGGUUAGUCGGGACCUAAGCCGAGGCCGAUAGGCGUAGGCGAUGGACAACAGGUAGAGAUUCCUGUACCAGUGCUAAUUGUUUAACCGAUGGGGUGACACAGAAGGAUAGGGAAUCGCACGAAUGGAAAUGUGCGUCCAAGCAGUGAGUGUGAGAAGUAGGCAA